This 35-nucleotide transfer RNA is filed under the name Pitohui cerviniventris. Its description in RNAcentral is "tRNA-Lys". The record is from RNAcentral. Lineage: Eukaryota; Metazoa; Chordata; Aves; Passeriformes.
CUAGAGAAAGAGGAAUAUACCCCCUCCUUAAUGAU